GGGUUGUGAGGUUAAGCGACUAAGCGUACACGGUGGAUGCCCUGGCAGUCAGAGGCGAUGAAGGACGUGCUAAUCUGCGAAAAGCGUCGGUAAGGUGAUAUGAACCGUUACAGCCGGCGAUGUCCGAAUGGGGAAACCCAGUGUGAUUCGUCACACUAUCGUUAACUGAAUACAUAGGUUAACGAGGCGAACCGGGGGAACUGAAACA
Molecule: ribosomal RNA, 208 nt
Filed under: Klebsiella sp. C1-16S-Nf17
Lineage: Bacteria; Pseudomonadati; Pseudomonadota; Gammaproteobacteria; Enterobacterales; Enterobacteriaceae
Also listed under: 1 other name
Description: partial 23S ribosomal RNA
Rfam family: Bacterial large subunit ribosomal RNA
Source: RNAcentral